Molecule: ribosomal RNA, 252 nt
Filed under: uncultured bacterium
Lineage: Bacteria
Description: partial 16S ribosomal RNA
Rfam family: Bacterial small subunit ribosomal RNA
Source: RNAcentral
UACGGAGGAUGCGAGCGUUAUCCGGAUUUAUUGGGUUUAAAGGGUGCGCAGGCGGCACGGCAAGCCGGCGGUCAAAUCGCGGGGCUCAACCCCGCCCAGCCGUCGGAACUGCCGGGCUAGAGUGGGCGAGAAGUGCGCGGAAUGCGUGGUGUAGCGGUGAAAUGCAUAGAUAUCACGCAGAACUCCGAUUGCGAAGGCAGCGCACGGGCGCCCUACUGACGCUCAGGCACGAAAGCGUGGGUAUCGAACAGG